Molecule: ribosomal RNA, 440 nt
Filed under: uncultured Simplicispira sp.
Lineage: Bacteria; Pseudomonadati; Pseudomonadota; Betaproteobacteria; Burkholderiales; Comamonadaceae
Description: bacterial SSU rRNA
Rfam family: Bacterial small subunit ribosomal RNA
Source: RNAcentral
GGAAUUUUGGACAAUGGGGGAAACCCUGAUCCAGCAAUGCCGCGUGCAGGAUGAAGGCCUUCGGGUUGUAAACUGCUUUUGUACGGAACGAAAAGACUCUUUCUAAUAAAGAGGGUCCAUGACGGUACCGUAAGAAUAAGCACCGGCUAACUACGUGCCAGCAGCCGCGGUAAUACGUAGGGUGCAAGCGUUAAUCGGAAUUACUGGGCGUAAAGCGUGCGCAGGCGGUUAUGUAAGACAGAUGUGAAAUCCCCGGGCUCAACCUGGGAAUUGCAUUAGUGGCUGCAUAGCUAGAGUGCGGCAGAAGGGGAUGGAAUUCCGCGUGUAGCAGUGAAAUGCGUAGAUAUGCGGAGGAACACCGAUGGCGAAGGCAAUCCCCUGGGCCUGCACUGACGCUCAUGCACGAAAGCGUGGGGAGCAAACAGGAUUAGAUACCCGAG